UGGGGGAUUUUGCACAAUGGGCGCAAGCCUGAUGCAGCGACGCCGCGUGAGGGAUGAAGGCCUUCGGGUUGUAAACCUCUUUCGCUGGGUUGAAAGGCCAUGCUUUGGGUGUGGUUGAUUUGAACUGGUAAAGAAGUACCGGCUAACUACGUGCCAGCAGCCGCGGUAAUACGUAGGGUACUAGCGUUGUCCGGAUUUAUUGGGCGUAAAGGGCUUGUAGGUGGUUUGUCGCGUCUGUCGUGAAAUCCUGUGGCUUAACCAUGGGCUUGCGGUGGGUACGGGCAGGCUUGAGUGCGGUAGGGGGGACUGGAAUACCUGGUGUAGCGGUGGAAUGCGCAGAUAUCAGGAGGAACACCGGUGGCGAAGGGGGGUCUCUGGGCCGUUACUGACACUGAGGGGCGAAAGCGUGGGGAGCGAACAGG
Molecule: ribosomal RNA, 422 nt
Filed under: Fusobacteriota bacterium
Lineage: Bacteria; Fusobacteriati; Fusobacteriota
Description: Fusobacteria bacterium partial 16S ribosomal RNA
Rfam family: Bacterial small subunit ribosomal RNA
Source: RNAcentral